RNAcentral lists this ribosomal RNA (240 nucleotides) under uncultured bacterium. RNAcentral describes it as "partial 16S ribosomal RNA". It matches the Rfam family "Bacterial small subunit ribosomal RNA", at positions 92 to 334 of the family's 1533-position model. The record is from RNAcentral.
CGACCGGCGCACGGGUGAGUAACGCGUAUCCAACCUGCCCACCACUUGGGAUAACCUUGCAAAGUAAGACUAAUACCCAAUGAUAUCUCUAGAAGACAUCUGAAAGAGAUUAAAGAUUUAUCGGUGAUGGAUGGGGAUGCGUCUGAUUAGCUUGUUGGCGGGGUAACGGCCCACCAAGGCAACGAUCAGUAGGGGUUCUGAGAGGAAGGUCCCCCACAUUGGAACUGAGACACGGUCCAA